AUUCCUAGUGUAGAGGUGAAAUUCGUAAAUAUUAGGAGGAACACCAGUGGCGAAGGCGUCUAUCUGGUUCAAAUCUGACGCUGAGGCGCGAAGGCGUGGGGAGCAAACAGGAUUAGAUACCNUGGUAGUCCACGCUGUAAACGAUGAAUGUUAAAUAUGGGAAGUUUUACUUUCUGUAUUACAGCUAACGCGUUAAACAUUCCGCCUGGGGACUACGGUCGCAAGAUUAAAACUCAAAGGAAUUGACGGGGACCCGCACAAGCGGUGGAGCAUGUGGUUUAAUUCGAUGCAACGCGAAAAACCUUACCACUCCUUGACAUGGAAAUUAUACCUAUUCGAAGGGAUAGGGUCGGUUCGUCCGGGUUUCACACAGGUGUUGCAUGGCUGUCGUCAGCUCGUGUCGUGAGAUGUUGGGUUAAGUCCCGCAACGAGCGCAACCCUCAUCCUUAGUUACCAUCAGGUAAUGCUGGGGACUUUAAGGAAACUGCCAGUGAUAAACUGGAGGAAGGUGGGGAUGAUGUCAAGUCAUCAUGGCCCUUAUGGAGUGGGCUACACACGUGCUACAAUGGUGGCUACAAUGGGCUGCAAAGUCGCGAGGCUAAGCUAAUCCCUUAAAAGCCAUCUCAGUUCGGAUUGUACUCUGCAACUCGAGUGCAUGAAGUUGGAAUCGCUAGUAAUCGUGGAUCAGCACGCCACGGUGAAUACGUUCUCGGGUCUUGUACACACUGCCCGUCACGCCAUGGGAAUUGGUUUCACUCGAAGCUAACGACCUAACCGCAAGGAGGGAGUUAUUUAAAGUGGGAUCGGUGACUGGGGUGAAGUCGUAACAAGGUAGCAGUAGGGGAAUCUGCGGCUGGAUCA
This 861-nucleotide ribosomal RNA is filed under the name uncultured bacterium. RNAcentral's name for it is "bacterial SSU rRNA". It matches the Rfam family "Bacterial small subunit ribosomal RNA", at positions 666 to 1525 of the family's 1533-position model. The record is from RNAcentral.